CCUACGGGUGGCUGCAGUGGGGAAUAUUGGACAAUGGGGAACCCUGAUCCAGCCAUGCCGCGUGUGUGAAGAAGGCCCUCGGGUUGUAAAGCACUUUCAGUGAGGAAGAACGCCUGGUGGUUAAUACCCAUCAGGAAAGACAUCACUCACAGAAGAAGCACCGGCUAACUCCGUGCCAGCAGCCGCGGUAAUACGGAGGGUGCGAGCGUUAAUCGGAAUUACUGGGCGUAAAGCGCGCGUAGGUGGCUUGAUAAGCCGGUUGUGAAAGCCCCGGGCUCAACCUGGGAACGGCAUCCGGAACUGUCAAGCUAGAGUGCAGGAGAGGAAGGUAGAAUUCCAGGUGUAGCGGUGAAAUGCGUAGAGAUCGGGAGGAAUACCAGUGGCGAAGGCGGCCUUCUGGACUGACACUGACACUGAGGUGCGAAAGCGUGGGUAGCAAACAGGAUUAGAUACCCUAGUAGUC
This 463-nucleotide ribosomal RNA is filed under the name Vreelandella stevensii. Its description in RNAcentral is "partial 16S ribosomal RNA". It matches the Rfam family "Bacterial small subunit ribosomal RNA", at positions 338 to 795 of the family's 1533-position model. Lineage: Bacteria; Pseudomonadati; Pseudomonadota; Gammaproteobacteria; Oceanospirillales; Halomonadaceae. The record is from RNAcentral.